Molecule: ribosomal RNA, 389 nt
Filed under: uncultured bacterium
Lineage: Bacteria
Description: partial 16S ribosomal RNA
Rfam family: Bacterial small subunit ribosomal RNA
Source: RNAcentral
CCUACGGGUGGCAGCAGUGAGGAAUAUUGGUCAAUGGACGAAAGUCUGAACCAGCCAAGUCGCGUGAAGGAUGAAGGCUCUAUGGGUUGUAAACUUCUUUUAUAAGGGAAUAAAGUGCGGGACGUGUCCCGUUUUGUAUGUACCUUAUGAAUAAGGAUCGGCUAACUCCGUGCCAGCAGCCGCGGUAAUACGGAGGAUCCGAGCGUUAUCCGGAUUUAUUGGGUUUAAAGGGUGCGUAGGCGGACUUUUAAGUCAGCGGUGAAAGUCUGUGGCUCAACCAUAGAAUUGCCGUUGAAACUGGGAGGCUUGAGUAUAGUUGAGGUAGGCGGAAUGCGUGGUGUAGCGGUGAAAUGCUUAGAUAUCACGCAGAACCCCGAUUGCGAAGGCAG